GGAGUUAGCCGGUGCUUCUUCUGUGAGUGAUGUCCUUCCUGCCGGCUAUUAACCCGCAGGCCUUCUUCCUCACUGAAAGUGCUUUACAACCCGAAGGCCUUCUUCACACACGCGGCAUGGCUGGAUCAGGGUUGCCCCCAUUGUCCAAUAUUCCCCACUGCUGCCUCCCGUAGGAGUCUGGGCCGUGUCUCAGUCCCAGUGUGUCUGAUCAUCCUCUCAGACCAGCUACGGAUCGUCGCCUUGGUGAGCCGUUACCUCACCAACCAGCUAAUCCGACAUAGGCUCAUCCGAUAGCGCGAGGCCCGAAGGUCCCCCGCUUUCCCCCGUAGGGCGUAUGCGGUAUUAGCCUGGGUUUCCCCAGGUUAUCCCCCACUACCGGGCAGAUUCCUAUGCAUUACUCACCCGUCCGCCGCUCGCCACCAGGGAGCAAGCUCCCCGUGCUGCCGCUCGACUUGCAUGUGUUAGGCCUGCCGCCAGCGUUCAAUCUGAGCCAGAAUCAAACUCUGA
This 507-nucleotide ribosomal RNA is filed under the name uncultured bacterium. RNAcentral describes it as "partial 16S ribosomal RNA". The record is from RNAcentral.